Misgurnus anguillicaudatus (oriental weatherfish) is the source of this 971-nucleotide non-coding RNA. The record is from RefSeq and is a predicted model, not a curated record. NCBI's taxonomy places the organism in Eukaryota, Metazoa, Chordata, Actinopteri, Cypriniformes, Cobitidae.
CGAUGAACAUAUGAAGAGUUUGGUUCCAAAACGCAAUAAAUCCAUUUUGACAAAUUUCGGUAAAAACGUGUUUUCUAUACCAAGAAAGUGACAAGAUGAAAACCACUAUUUUCUGUUACAAACUUUCACAUAGCAUCUUUAGGUUAUAAAAACAUAAAAAAUUCAAAUCCAUAACUUGAUUUUCAAAGAUUUAUUAUAAAAACUAAUUCUUUUUUCCACAAAAUGCAAUAAAUCCAUGACAGUUUUUUAUUUCAAAAUGCUAUAAAUCUAUUAAAUCAAUGUAUAAAUGUGCAUUCAUCUUUACCAUUUUAUAUUUAUUUAGUUGACUAGUGGUAUACAAUUAUUAAAAAAUAAACAUUAAUGGCAUUAACCAAAACACUUACUUUGUUAUAUUAAGAACACAAUGUUUUAGCAUGAGAAGCUUGAUGCUGUCUGGAGAACAAGCAACCGAGUGCCUCUCGCGGAAAUAUUAGCUGUUGAUGGCUUACGUUUCUUUCCCGUCACAGAAAACCAUCACAGGUCUCUUCCAAAGCCGUCUGGUUUGCCUCUGACGAAUUGACGCAUCAACAAUUUGAUAGAGCAGGUUCAGACAGACGGUGAAGUAAGAGGGAUGCAAUGAACCCUGACUGCGAGUGCCGAUGGCGCUGCCCCGAGGGAAUGUGUGCAUGUGUGUGUGGAGCCAUGAUGGACGGGUAAAAGACAGGGUGCAGUGCCCCGGCAGGUGAAGCUGAGUGGCACAAAGGUUGCGGUUGUUCGCCAUGAGAUUGUUGUUGCGUCAGUCUCUAACUUAUUGCGUCUCUCAAUCACUCUUUACCUUUGUCAAGCUGAAAGUUUAUGCAAAUAAAUGUAUUUUGAAUCUCUUUAUAUCCACCUUUACAAACAGCAUUGCAGCUUUGCCAAAUCACAGGCUGAAAAUUGCUUUAGCGGCAAAGAAUGCACCCUGAGCAGUCUUUAACGUGAAGGAGGGCUGC